AAUAAAUAGAAAUUUCUCAUAUAUUAAAUCAACUUGGUUGCAUUACAAAGGACACGAUACAAAGAUUACAACAUGUGAAGCUAGUAGUAAUCCUACUGUUGACCUUGCAACCAACGUCUCAGCCAUUCUGAAACAUUGACACCGAAAAUAUCUGAAACAUAAUGAUUGAAACAUUGGCACUGGACAUGGAAUUCUAAGACACAAUGUGAAACUAUCUAAUAGCACUCCUAUUCUUGACCAAUAUCUGAGCCAUGCAUCAUCGAAUACAGCAAUCUACAACAAAGAAACGAAAUAGGUUAAUAGGGCAAAAAAAUUGGAAGGAGGAGCAACAUGGAAAGGUCGAAGGCAAUGUGAUAGUUAAUCUUGCUGCAUGACUAAUAAUUUUGACUCUUUUUAGUAGUUAUAAAAACUUGUAAGAUUUUGCUAAUGUAGCAUCAACGCGCAAUACCAAGAAUUCAUUACCAAGUUUAACAUCAUCAACUUUAGAUUUAUAUUCGGGGUCGAUACUUUGGAUUAAAGUAAGAGGAGCAUUGUUGUUCGGAUGUGUCCAGUAUAAUAUUUGUAGCUAACAAUAGUCAUUUUAGCUUACAGUACACUAACUCAGCCUGUUUCAUUAGUAAGUUUCACCCUGUUAACAGAAACAAAGUGUUUUAUAGGGGUGGGAAAAUGUAAGGCAGGCAUAAAGUAGUUGAUGAAUUGUUUAACCUAAUCUAACCGAAAUGAGUCUUAUCUCACAGAAGCAGUGUUCUCUUGUACAAAUUAGGUAGGAAAAAAAAGAGAAGCAUGUGUAAGAUAAUAAAAUGUAGUCAAGUAAUGCUAUUAAUACUCCAAACUUUCCAUUCGAUCUGGUGAAGAAUCAUUCACGCAAUAUAGAACUACUAUCAGAAAAUACCUCCUAGUAAAUCCAGCUUGGCACUAAUAUGUUUUAGCGCCAGCAACAUCGACUUGGAACAAUCUAGUCUCUGUAACCUGCUGAUUUGGCAUAUGCAUUAGUAAUCUAUGUUCGGUUGUGCUCACUGAAUCGAUGGCAUCAAAAUAGCCGAACACAUGUGUACGAAAAAUUUAGCGUACUCUUUAUUCUUUUAUAUCAGAACUCUUACAUAAGCUUGCUUUUUUACGGAAAAACUCUUGCACGACCUGGUUCCAUGAUAUGACCUGCUACAUGGCCAAAGCAAUCCAAACCUACGCUGACUUAAUAGCAUCUAGAACGACUCAGACUGCAGUGCCCUUUUACUAGACUAGUAAGGCAUGCUGAGUCCAAGACAUACUAGUACAGCAUGUAGGCUACUAGCUAUGCAAACUCAUUGAACCAUAUAUGGACUACAGAACACAAAUGCUUACGACAUGCAAACGAGACAUGUUGGAAAACUAACUAAUCAACCUAUCAAAAUUAGACUCAAACUUGGCUAGUUAAACUAGCAUGGACACCUACCAAACUACUUAAAAUGAUUCUAACAAUUUAGAAGACCACACCAUUAGUGCAGUGCCAGGCUGCCAACGUAUCAGUAUAUGCCAACAUUUACUAAAUAGGUUUCGCUUUCUUAGUUCACUUGUUUACCGAGAACAUGGAAACUUAGAGCAGUUCCAGUAUGCUCUUCUUUGUCACCAUGGUUGCCGGAUGCUCAAACUGUUGGCCUGAAUAGGUAGAGGAGAAGGUUCUAAGUAUUACAGAGAAGAGGAGAUCCUAGUAAGAUCCAAUAGUUUGGGAUCAGUGAAUUCGACGUACCUGACACACUUGCACAGUCGCCGUAUCUGAUCGCUUAGGUGUCUGUUUAUGCUUGUUAGUAACAUCCCACCACCAUAGUGUGCCUGUAUGUCAGGGAAGCAGAGUGCACAAGAGGAAUAAGUUUGACAGUUUAAGGAGAAUAUGUUACAAACAAGAUAAGAUGUGAGAGGCACCUGGCCAAGAGUUUGUGUGCUGACCAAUCAUGCAUCAUUCUAUCUUUGGAAACGUCUGUGGCUCCCCACAAAAUACAAAUUAGUACAGAGAUUGCAGGAAUUCAGAAGUACCCGUAUUUCCAAAAAAAAUGCA
RNAcentral lists this long non-coding RNA (2032 nucleotides) under Triticum aestivum (bread wheat). RNAcentral describes it as "long non-coding RNA (TAES_LNC013915)". The record is from RNAcentral. Lineage: Eukaryota; Viridiplantae; Streptophyta; Magnoliopsida; Poales; Poaceae.